This 301-nucleotide ribosomal RNA is filed under the name uncultured bacterium. Its description in RNAcentral is "partial 16S ribosomal RNA". It matches the Rfam family "Bacterial small subunit ribosomal RNA", at positions 509 to 809 of the family's 1533-position model. The record is from RNAcentral.
CAGCAGCCGCGGGAAUACAGAGGGUGCGAGCGUUAAUCGGAUUUACUGGGCGUAAAGCGUGCGUAGGCGGCUAAUUGAGUCGGAUGUGAAAUCCCCGAGCUUAACUUGGGAAUUGCAUUCGAUACUGGUUAGCUAGAGUGUGGGAGAGGAUGGUAGAAUUCCAGGUGUAGCGGUGAAAUGCGUAGAGAUCUGGAGGAAUACCGAUGGCGAAGGCAGCCAUAUGGCCUAACACUGACGCUGAGGUACGAAAGCAUGGGGAGCAAACAGGAUUAGAUACCCCUGUAGUCCCUGUCUCUUAUAA